Molecule: ribosomal RNA, 756 nt
Filed under: uncultured Diversispora
Lineage: Eukaryota; Fungi; Glomeromycota; Glomeromycetes; Diversisporales; Diversisporaceae
Description: eukaryotic LSU rRNA
Rfam family: Eukaryotic large subunit ribosomal RNA
Source: RNAcentral
GCAUAUCAAUAAGCGGAGGAAAAGAAACUAACAAGGAUUCCCCUAGUAACGGCGAGUGAAGAGGGAAAAGCUCAAAUUUUAAAUCUACCUGGUUCCCAGGUCGAAUUGUAAUUUGAAGAAGCGAUAUCGGUGUGGAGGUCUGGUUCAAGUUCUUUGGAACAAGACAUCAUGGAGGGUGAGAAUCCCGUGCAUGAUCAGACCAAAAUACUUAAUAUUCGUUUUCUAAGAGUCGAGUUGUUUGGGAAUGCAGCUCAAAAUGGGUGGUAGACUUCACCUAAGGCUAAAUAUCAGCGAGAGACCGAUAGCGAACAAGUACUGUGAAGGAAAGAUGAAAAGAACUUUGAAAAGAGAGUUAAAUAGUACGUGAAAUUGUUGAAAGGGAAACGAUUGAAGUCAGUCAUGCUAGUGAAAAAUCAGUUUGACGGGUUUUGAGUUCGGGAGUAGAGGCAGGGUCAAACCGUUUCUCUUUUGGACUUGGGAUUUGUCGGAUGUACUUUUUCUUUGGCAGGUCAGCGUCGGUUUCGGAGGUUGUAAAAUACUUGGGGGAAAGUAGCUCUGCUUCGGGAGAGUGUUAUAGACCCUGGGGGAUGCAGCCUGUGGGAUCGAGGAUUGCAGCAAAUGCCUUUGGCUUGUCGCCUGAUCUCUGGAUGUUACCUCUCUUGUGACAACAUUCUUGCCACCGGGGAGUACUGAUGCCCAUUAGGUUAGAACGAUCAAAAAUUUGCUAAGGAUGCUGACGUAAUGGCUUUAAACGAC